GAUGAACGCUGGCGGCGUGCCUAAUACAUGCAAGUCGAGCGAACAGACGAGGAGCUUGCUCCUCUGACGUUAGCGGCGGACGGGUGAGUAACACGUGGAUAACCUACCUAUAAGACUGGGAUAACUUCGGGAAACCGGAGCUAAUACCGGAUAAUAUAUUGAACCGCAUGGUUCAAUAGUGAAAGACGGUUUUGCUGUCACUUGUAGAUGGAUCCGCGCCGCAUUAGCUAGUUGGUAGGGUAACGGCUUACCAAGGCAACGAUGCGUAGCCGACCUGAGAGGGUGAUCGGCCACACUGGAACUGAGACACGGUCCAGACUCCUACGGGAGGCAGCAGUAGGGAAUCUUCCGCAAUGGGCGAAAGCCUGACGGAGCAACGCCGCGUGAGUGAUGAAGGUCUUCGGAUCGUAAAACUCUGUUAUUAGGGAAGAACAAAUGUGUAAGUAACUAUGCACGUCUUGACGGUACCUAAUCAGAAAGCCACGGCUAACUACGUG
This 497-nucleotide ribosomal RNA is filed under the name uncultured bacterium. Its description in RNAcentral is "partial 16S ribosomal RNA". It matches the Rfam family "Bacterial small subunit ribosomal RNA", at positions 28 to 507 of the family's 1533-position model. The record is from RNAcentral.